Molecule: ribosomal RNA, 441 nt
Filed under: uncultured bacterium
Lineage: Bacteria
Description: partial 16S ribosomal RNA
Rfam family: Bacterial small subunit ribosomal RNA
Source: RNAcentral
CUACGGGUGGCUCCAGUGGGGAAUAUUGCACAAUGGGCGCAAGCCUGAUGCAGCAACGCCGCGUGAGUGAUGAAGGCCUUCGGGUCGUAAAGCUCUGUCCUAUGGGAAGAAACAAAUGACGGUACCAUAGGAGGAAGCCCCGGCUAACUACGUGCCAGCAGCCGCGGUAAUACGUAGGGGGCAAGCGUUAUCCGGAAUCACUGGGCGUAAAGGGUGCGUAGGCGGUCUAUCAAGUCAGAAGUGCAAGGCAGUGGCUUAACCAUUGUAAGCUUUUGAAACUGAUGGACUUGAGUGCAGGAGAGGUAAGUGGAAUUCCUAGUGUAGCGGUGAAAUGCGUAGAUAUUAGGAGGAACACCAGUGGCGAAGGCGACUUACUGGACUGUAACUGACGCUGAGGCACGAAAGCGUGGGGAGCGAACAGGAUUAGAUACCCCGGUAGUC